GUCUACGGCCAUACCACCCUGAACGCGCCCGAUCUCAUCUGAUCUCGGAAGCUAAGCAGGGUCGGGCCUGGUUAGUAUUUGGAUGGGAGACCAAUACUUCCAUCUGUCUUCUUAAUCC
RNAcentral lists this ribosomal RNA (118 nucleotides) under Neogale vison (American mink). The record is from RNAcentral. Lineage: Eukaryota; Metazoa; Chordata; Mammalia; Carnivora; Mustelidae.